GAUGAACGCUGGCGGCGUGCCUAAUACAUGCAAGUCGAGCGAACAGACGAGGCGCUUGCUCCUCUGACGUUAGCGGCGGACGGGUGAGUAACACGUGGAUAACCUACCUAUAAGACUGGGAUAACUUCGGGAAACCGGAGCUAAUACCGGAUAAUAUAUUGAACCGCAUGGUUCAAUAGUGAAAGACGGUUUUGCUGUCACUUAUAGAUGGAUCCGCGCCGGAUUAGCUAGUUGGUAAGGUAACGGCUUACCAAGGCAACGAUGCGUAGCCGACCUGAGAGGGUGAUCGGCCACACUGGAACUGAGACACCGUCCAGACUCCUACGGGAGGCAGCAGUAGGGAAUCUUCCGCAAUGGGCGAAAGCCUGACGGAGCAACGCCGCGUGAGUGAUGAAGGUCUUCGGAUCGUAAAACUCUGUUAUUAGGGAAGAACAAAUGUGUAAGUAACUAUGCACGUCUUGACGGUACCUAAUCAGAAAGCCACGGCUAACUACGUG
Molecule: ribosomal RNA, 497 nt
Filed under: uncultured bacterium
Lineage: Bacteria
Description: partial 16S ribosomal RNA
Rfam family: Bacterial small subunit ribosomal RNA
Source: RNAcentral